AAGACAUGAUUAGUAAAUAUGAAGAUACAUGUUGGACUUGGACUUGACUUAGGGGAAAACGUGAUAACGAUCGGCAUAUGUUAAACUACCUGAUUUAGCCCUAGGGGCCAUUGUAUGAUUUUAUACUGUUGCAGUAUUAUCAUAGUGAAUAUUCCAGAUAGUUUAGUUUUCAGUUACGCUCGUGCUGGGAUGCCGAGUGUAUUUUUACAGUAGUGUUCAAGCUGUUCCGGACUGCUGGGUGCCGUCGAGGUUGACGGUGGACCCGUAUCGCCUUUUUGGCAUCGGAUGGUGCCGAGGGCACGUUACCUGUUGGUUGUUAGACCAGUUUGAGUCGGUUACUUGACUUUGGCUUUUGAGAGCCUGAUUGAGCUCGACAGAGAUAUGCUGCAUACUCGGUUGGGUAGCUCCCACGAGUGCCACUCCGGAGACGAGCGCUGUGCUUUCGCGUUGGUGUCGCUCAUGCCGGUUGGACUUGCUCUCCACGCACUAGUAGUGUGGAGAUAGCUGGAUAGUCACAACUGGGCAGGGACGGGUGUGUUCACAGUCCCAGGGACGGGUAUGCCUACAGUCCCGAUUGGAUUGGGUCAGAUUUGAUAUUUUCCUACAGUUGGUUAGUGUAGAGCAUGAUAGUGUAGUGAUCCAUAGCGGUA
This 650-nucleotide long non-coding RNA is filed under the name Ananas comosus (pineapple). Its description in RNAcentral is "long non-coding RNA (ACOM_LNC034787)". The record is from RNAcentral. Lineage: Eukaryota; Viridiplantae; Streptophyta; Magnoliopsida; Poales; Bromeliaceae.